This 340-nucleotide ribosomal RNA is filed under the name uncultured bacterium. Its description in RNAcentral is "bacterial SSU rRNA". It matches the Rfam family "Bacterial small subunit ribosomal RNA", at positions 917 to 1271 of the family's 1533-position model. The record is from RNAcentral.
GGACCCACACAAGCGGUGGAUCGCGGGGUUUAAUUCGUCAAUAAGCGAUUAACCUUACCCAGGCUUGACAUCCUAAUCAUACUCUUUGGAAACAGAGAGGUCGGCUCGGCCGGAUUAGUGACAGGCGCUGCAUGGUUGCCGUCAGCUCGUGCCUUGAGGUGUUCGGUUAAGUCGUGAACGAGCGCAACCCUCAUCGUGUGUUGUAUUUUCACACGAGACUGCCGAUUAAAAGUCGGAGGAAGGUGAGGAUGACGUCAAAUCAGCAUGGCCCUUAUGCCUGGGGCUACACCCACGAUACAAUGGCAAGUACAAACCGAAGCAAACAGCAAUGUCGAGCCAA